Molecule: ribosomal RNA, 497 nt
Filed under: uncultured bacterium
Lineage: Bacteria
Description: partial 16S ribosomal RNA
Rfam family: Bacterial small subunit ribosomal RNA
Source: RNAcentral
GAUGAACGCUGGCGGCGUGCCUAAUACGUGCAAGUCGAGCGAACGGACGAGAAGCUUGCUUCUCUGAUGUUAGCGGCGGACGGGUGAGUAACACGUGGAUAACCUACCUAUAAGACUGGGAUAACUUCGGGAAACCGGAGCUAAUACCGGAUAAUAUUUUGAACCGCAUGGUUCAAAAGUGAAAGACGGUCUUGCUGUCACUUAUAGAUGGAUCCGCGCUGCAUUAGCUAGUUGGUAAGGUAACGGCUUACCAAGGCAACGAUGCAUAGCCGACCUGAGAGGGUGAUCGGCCACACUGGAACUGAGACACGGUCCAGACUCCUACGGGAGGCAGCAGUAGGGAAUCUUCCGCAAUGGGCGAAAGCCUGGCGGAGCAACGCCGCGUGAGUGAUGAAGGUCUUCGGAUCGUAAAACUCUGUUAUUAGGGAAGAACAUAUGUGUAAGUAACUGUGCACAUCUUGACGGUACCUAAUCAGAAAGCCACGGCUAACUACGUG